Molecule: ribosomal RNA, 490 nt
Filed under: uncultured bacterium
Lineage: Bacteria
Description: partial 16S ribosomal RNA
Rfam family: Bacterial small subunit ribosomal RNA
Source: RNAcentral
AUUGAACGCUGGCGGCAGGCCUAACACAUGCAAGUCGAACGGUAACAGGAAGAAGCUUGCUUCUUUGCUGACGAGUGGCGGACGGGUGAGUAAUGUCUGGGAAACUGCCUGAUGGAGGGGGAUAACUACUGGAAACGGUAGCUAAUACCGCAUAACGUCGCAAGACCAAAGAGGGGGACCUUCGGGCCUCUUGCCAUCGGAUGUGCCCAGAUGGGAUUAGCUAGUAGGUGGGGUAACGGCUCACCUAGGCGACGAUGCCUAGCUGGUCUGAGAGGAUGACCAGCCACACUGGAACUGAGCCACGGUCCAGACUCCUACGGGAGGCAGCAGUGGGGAAUAUUGCACAAUGGGCGCAAGCCUGAUGCAGCCAUGCCGCGUGUAUGAAGAAGGCCUUCGGGUUGUAAAGUACUUUCAGCGGGGAGGAAGGGAGUAAAGUUAAUACCUUUGCUCAUUGACGUUACCCGCAGAAGAAGCACCGGCUAACUCCGUG